GAAAAGAAUGGACUCUCCGGGG
Molecule: microRNA, 22 nt
Filed under: Fragaria vesca subsp. vesca
Lineage: Eukaryota; Viridiplantae; Streptophyta; Magnoliopsida; Rosales; Rosaceae
Description: fve-miR11313
Source: miRBase by way of RNAcentral